GACUGUCACAUUCUCUUUCUACAACAGACUGUUACAACCUAGAACACAUUUCCAUGGAGACCUCCAUAGUCUGCUAAGGAUGAUGAAAGAGCUCAUCUAUGACCAUGACAACAAGGUUUCUCUAUAACUUUAACAACAUUUUAAUGGAGACGUGCUUAGUCUGGGGAGUCUAGCCUUGCCAUGUCUUAAGGAAUGUUUUGUUCACAGCUUAAGCAAAGGUCUGCUUACAGGCUGGUGGGAGUUUCCUUUAUGGGUAUGCUUUCUUAGGUGAUAGAUAACAAGGGUGAAUGAGUUCAGCUUUGAGAGAAAGGAAGGGAGGGCUGGGCAGAACAUUCCUAGUUACUGAGCAGAGAGAGGGGAGGGGCAUUGUGGUUGUCAUGGAAACCUGGGGACUUUGUCGACUGCUUUUCAGUAGCUACCUAGGUGAUUAUGUAGUGCUGGGAAUUCUCUGCAGCCAAGUUUAUGGGUUCCCAGGGGUGAGCACUCGAAUCUCUCUGAGGAUGGAAAGACAGAUACAGGGAUCCCAGACACAAUUUUGCUUUGCUUUCAGACAGCAUUUCAUUGUGUCUUAACCUGGCUUAGAACUCUAAAUGAUCGUCCUACCUCAGUUUUCUGGUGAUGAGAGUACAAUUGUGAGAGUACCUGUGUGUUGCCAUCUUUUGUGGUACCCGCUCUACCAUGUGACCCUGACUCUCUUCAGAAUCCCCUGCCAUGCUGCUGCCUGCACACCUACUGUUUUAAUAUCGCUAAUAAAUCUCUUAUAAAAUGA
Long non-coding RNA from Mastomys coucha (southern multimammate mouse), 769 nucleotides. RefSeq lists it as uncharacterized. The transcript has 2 exons. The record is from RefSeq and is a predicted model, not a curated record. Lineage: Eukaryota; Metazoa; Chordata; Mammalia; Rodentia; Muridae.